This 603-nucleotide ribosomal RNA is filed under the name Ascomycota sp. Its description in RNAcentral is "LSU rRNA". It matches the Rfam family "Eukaryotic large subunit ribosomal RNA", at positions 37 to 658 of the family's 3401-position model. Lineage: Eukaryota; Fungi; Ascomycota. The record is from RNAcentral.
UGCAUAUCAAUAAGCGGAGGAAAAGAAACCAACAGGGAUUACCUCAGUAACGGCGAGUGAAGCGGUAACAGCUCAAAUUUGAAAUCUGGCCGCAAGGUCCGAGUUGUAAUUUGUAGAGGAUGUUUCGAGCAUGGUCUGGCCUAAGUUCCUUGGAACAGGACGUCAUAGAGGGUGAGAAUCCCGUAUGCGGUCAGGUGCCUACGCUCAUGUGAAACUCCUUCGACGAGUCGAGUUGUUUGGGAAUGCAGCUCAAAAUGGGUGGUAAAUUUCAUCUAAAGCUAAAUAUUGGCCAGAGACCGAUAGCGCACAAGUAGAGUGAUCGAAAGAUGAAAAGCACUUUGGAAAGAGAGUUAAACAGUACGUGAAAUUGUUGAAAGGGAAGCGCUUGCAACCAGACUUGCGCGCGGCUGAUCAUCCGGGCUUCUGCCCGGUGCACUCGGUCGCGCUCAGGCCAGCAUCGGUUUUGGUGGCGGGAUAAAGGCCUUGGGAAUGUAGCUCCUCUCGGGGAGUGUUAUAGCCCAGGGUGCAAUGCCGCCUACCGGGACCGAGGACCGCGCUUCGGCUAGGAUGCUGGCGUAAUGGUUGUAAGCGACCCGUCUUGAA